RNAcentral lists this ribosomal RNA (378 nucleotides) under uncultured bacterium. RNAcentral's name for it is "bacterial SSU rRNA". It matches the Rfam family "Bacterial small subunit ribosomal RNA", at positions 362 to 757 of the family's 1533-position model. The record is from RNAcentral.
UCUUGCGCAAUGGGCGAAAGCCUGACGCAGCAACGCCGCGUGCGGGAUGAAGGCCUUCGGGCUGUAAACCGCUUUCAGCAGGAACGAAAAUGACGGUACCUGCAGAAGAAGGAGCAGCCAACUACGUGCCAGCAGCCGCGGUGACACGUAGGCUCCAAGCGUUGUCCGGAUUUAUUGGGCGUAAAGAGCUCGUAGGCGGUUUAGUAAGUCGGGUGUUAAAACUCUGGGCUCAACCCGGAGAGGCCAUCCGAUACUGCUGUGACUUGAGUUCAGGAGGGGAGCGGGGAAUUCCUAGUGUAGCGGUGAAAUGCGCAGAUAUUAGGAGGAACACCGGUGACGAAGGCGCCGCUCUGGACUGAAACUGACGCUGAGAGCGAA